AACAAUGAACCCGAAUACGAAGCUUGUAUCCUAGGACUUGAGGAAGCCAUCAACCCACGGAUUAAAACCCUGGAUGUAGUUGACGAAAAGAGACUAGCAGCUAUAUGCCAUGGCCAACUAUAUCAGAGACGGAUGAGGAGAGCAUUUGAUCUGAAAGUACGCCCUCGGGAGUGUCAAGUCGGUGAAUUGGUACUCAAAAGAAUUCUUCCUCC
Molecule: long non-coding RNA, 212 nt
Filed under: Lathyrus oleraceus (garden pea)
Lineage: Eukaryota; Viridiplantae; Streptophyta; Magnoliopsida; Fabales; Fabaceae
Description: Pisum sativum (pea) long non-coding RNA (PSAT_LNC032609)
Source: RNAcentral